Molecule: ribosomal RNA, 484 nt
Filed under: uncultured bacterium
Lineage: Bacteria
Description: partial 16S ribosomal RNA
Rfam family: Bacterial small subunit ribosomal RNA
Source: RNAcentral
AUUGAACGCUGGCGGCAGGCCUAACACAUGCAAGUCGAGCGGAUGCACGGAGCUUGCUCCCGGAUUCAGCUGCCGACGGGCGGGUGAUUCCUAGGUAUCUGCCUGGCCGUGGUGGCUUACGUCCGGACACGGGCGCUAAUACCGUAUACGUUCAUAUGGAGAACGUGGGGGAUCUUUGGACCUCCCGCUCUUUGCUGAGCCUAGGUCGGAUUAGCUAGUUGGUGGGGUAAAGGCCUACCAAGGCGACGAUCCGUAACUGGUCUGAGAGGAUGAUCAGCCACACUGGAACUGAGACACGGUCCAGACUCCUACGGGAGGCAGCAGUGGGGAAUAUUGGACAAUGGGCGAAAGCCUGAUCCAGCCAUGCCGCGUGGGUGAAGAAGGUCUUCGGAUUGUAAAGCACUUUUAGUUGGGAAGAAGAGCAGUAAGUUAAUACCUUGCUGUUUUGACGGUACCAAAAGAAUAAGCACCGGCUAACUUCAUG